RNAcentral lists this ribosomal RNA (253 nucleotides) under uncultured bacterium. Its description in RNAcentral is "partial 16S ribosomal RNA". It matches the Rfam family "Bacterial small subunit ribosomal RNA", at positions 524 to 776 of the family's 1533-position model. The record is from RNAcentral.
UACGGAGGGUGCGAGCGUUGUCCGGAAUUAUUGGGCGUAAAGAGCUCGUAGGCGGUUUGUUGCGUCGGCUGUGAAAUCCCGAGGCUCAACCUCGGGUCUGCAGUCGAUACGAGCAAACUAGAGUGUUGCAGGGAAGACUGGAAUUCCUGGUGUAGCGGUGAAAUGCGCAGAUAUCAGGAGGAACACCGGUGGCGAAGGCGGGUCUCUGGGCAACAACUGACGCUGAGGAGCGAAAGCGUGGGGAGCGAACAGG